UACGUAGGGCGCAAGCGUUAUCCGGAAUUAUUGGGCGUAAAGGGCUCGUAGGCGGUUUGUCGCGUCGGGAGUGAAAUCCACUGGCUUAACUGGUGGCUUGCUUUCGAUACGGGCAGACUGGAGUUCGGUAGGGGAGACUGGAAUUCCUGGUGUAGCGGUGAAAUGCGCAGAUAUCAGGAGGAACACCGGUGGCGAAGGCGGGUCUCUGGGCCGAUACUGACGCUGAGGAGCGAAAGCGUGGGGAGCGAACAGG
This 253-nucleotide ribosomal RNA is filed under the name uncultured bacterium. RNAcentral's name for it is "partial 16S ribosomal RNA". It matches the Rfam family "Bacterial small subunit ribosomal RNA", at positions 524 to 776 of the family's 1533-position model. The record is from RNAcentral.